This 482-nucleotide ribosomal RNA is filed under the name uncultured bacterium. RNAcentral describes it as "partial 16S ribosomal RNA". It matches the Rfam family "Bacterial small subunit ribosomal RNA", at positions 30 to 507 of the family's 1533-position model. The record is from RNAcentral.
AUUGAACGCUGGCGGCAUGCCUUACACAUGCAAAUCGAACGGUAACGGGCCUUCGGGUGCCGACGAGUGGCGAACGGGUGAGUAAUACAUCGGAACGUGCCCGAUCGUGGGGGAUAACGAGGCGAAAGCUUUGCUAAUACCGCAUACGAUCUACGGAUGAAAGCAGGGGACCGCAAGGCCUUGCGCGGACGGAGCGGCCGAUGGCAGAUUAGGUAGUUGGUGGGAUAAAAGCUUACCAAGCCGACGAUCUGUAGCUGGUCUGAGAGGAUGAUCAGCCACACUGGGACUGAGACACGGCCCAGACUCCUACGGGAGGCAGCAGUGGGGAAUUUUGGACAAUGGGCGCAAGCCUGAUCCAGCCAUGCCGCGUGCAGGAUGAAGGCCUUCGGGUUGUAAACUGAUUUUGUACGGAACGAAAAGCCUUCUUUUAAUACAGGAGGGUCAUGACGGUACUGUAAGUAUAAGCACCGGCUAACUACGUG